UAGAUAACGUUGGGGUGUGCCUGACCAUA
Molecule: non-coding RNA, 29 nt
Filed under: Rattus norvegicus (Norway rat)
Lineage: Eukaryota; Metazoa; Chordata; Mammalia; Rodentia; Muridae
Source: RNAcentral